Molecule: ribosomal RNA, 429 nt
Filed under: Bacillota bacterium
Lineage: Bacteria; Bacillati; Bacillota
Description: Firmicutes bacterium partial 16S ribosomal RNA
Rfam family: Bacterial small subunit ribosomal RNA
Source: RNAcentral
UGGGGAAUUUUGGACAAUGGGGGCAACCCUGAUCCAGCAAUGCCGCGUGUGUGAAGAAGGCCUUCGGGUUGUAAAGCACUUUUGUCCGGAAAGAAAACUUCGGGGCUAAUACCCCUGGAGGAUGACGGUACCGGAAGAAUAAGCACCGGCUAACUACGUGCCAGCAGCCGCGGUAAUACGUAGGGUGCGAGCGUUAAUCGGAAUUACUGGGCGUAAAGCGUGCGCAGGCGGUGCUGUAAGACCGAUGUGAAAUCCCCGGGCUUAACCUGGGAACUGCAUUGGUGACUGCAGCGCUGGAGUAUGGCAGAGGGGGGUGGAAUUCCACGUGUAGCAGUGAAAUGCGUAGAGAUGUGGAGGAACACCGAUGGCGAAGGCAGUCCCCUGGGCCAAUACUGACGCGCAUGCACGAAAGCGUGGGGAGCAAACAGG